UGUGAGUUUGAUAUAGCUACAAUAUCCAUCACCCCAUUGAUCACCAGGAUUGAUUUGCCUGCUCUAGCUGGCUAGCUGGGUACUCCCUUCUUCCCUCCCUGC
Molecule: non-coding RNA, 102 nt
Organism: Podarcis lilfordi (Lilford's wall lizard)
Lineage: Eukaryota; Metazoa; Chordata; Lepidosauria; Squamata; Lacertidae
Source: the annotation of a GenBank genome assembly